Small nucleolar RNA from Juglans regia (Persian walnut), 85 nucleotides. The record is from RefSeq and is a predicted model, not a curated record. Lineage: Eukaryota; Viridiplantae; Streptophyta; Magnoliopsida; Fagales; Juglandaceae.
GAGCAGAUGAUGAGAGACAUUAGUAUUUGUAUACUGAUAACUCCAUGAAGCUAUCAAUAAUCGAGCUUUUUAAAACUGAUGCUCA